Molecule: long non-coding RNA, 1401 nt
Organism: Chelonia mydas (Green sea turtle)
Lineage: Eukaryota; Metazoa; Chordata; Testudines; Cheloniidae
Exons: 2
Source: RefSeq, a predicted model, not a curated record
UCAACAUGAUAAGACGGUGCCACGCUUGCAAUCCAGAUCUACAUGAGCUUCUGUUACAAAGGUUUGCAAGCAUGAUUUUAAAUCAACAUUACUCUCAUCCUUCCUUCCCUUUCUCACCUUCUGUUUGUAAAUGCCACCCACUCAUUGCUUCUUAUCUCAAAAACUAAACUCUGGGCUCUUCAGAAGAGGAACACUUUCUAUGAGUUUGUGCACUGCUUAGCACAACAGGGCUCUAAUUCAAUAUGGAGCCUUUAGGCACAGCUGUAAUACAAGUAAUCAUAAUAGUCCAUAAACCCAAUGUUUUUAAACAGGAGAAUUAGCCAUUCACUAAGUUCAUUCUUCAUUCAUGCUUCUCUGGAUUGAAAGAAAGUCUGGCUUGCUUUGAGAGAUUUUUUAAGUUGUAUUUGAACAAAAUUAUUUAAGUCUCAAGUUGCUUCUACAGAUUGUUUCGGAAGAAGGGCGAAGGGAGAGAAAGUUCCUGCCUGAAGAUUUAUUUUUAAAAAUGGGAGCGGGGGAAGAGGACUAGGGCAAGAAAGAUUGAGCCUCUUUCCUUAUUAUCUUCAGAUCCACUUUGAAACCCUGCACUUACUACAGUACAGUUAAAAAUUGUACAUAGUACAAUAAUGAAACAAUCACACAUAUCUAAGUUGAAGCCAGGCAAAUUCAAACAGGAAAUAAGUAGUAAAUUUUUAACAGUGAGAAUAAUUAACCAUUGGAACAAUUUACCAAGGGUCAUGGUGGAUUCCCCAUAACUGACAAUUGUUAUAUGAAGAUAGGAUGUUUUUUCUAAAAGAUACACUUUGGAAGUAUUUUAGGGAAGUUCUAUGGCCUGUGUUUUUUACAGCAGGUCAGACUAAAUUAUCACAAUGGUCCUUUCUGGCCAUGAGAUCUAUGAAUCUAAGGUAAAGCAAGAAGUUUUAACAGAAAAUGAGCGCUUCCACUUCUGAGGUAGAAUGGUGGAUCAAUGGUGGAUGUUUUUUAAUUCAGCUAUUGCCUCCCUGGAAAACUGCAUUCUAGGAAGAUACAAAUACUUCCUGGAAUAUUGUUAGAUCUCUCAACACACACUUCUCCAGUCAUAUGCUACAAACAACAUAGUAAAGAGGUUCCCCCCAAAAUUCCACCCUUCAGUCUGAGACUCCUGCUCUGUUACAGGGGAAAUCUGCUCACAAAGAAGAUGGAUGAAGAACUACUCCAUUUCCCCCCAUAACUAUAACCAAGCAGUGAGACACACUGGGCACUUUGCUCCUGAAAAAAGAUAUCCUGAGCACAGCACAACAUUAAGGGAUAAGAGUGAAGAAUUUCUGUGGAAACACUUCAAAAAUAUCUGAAGAAUAGCUCUGUGUAGCUUAAAAGCUAUCCUUUUCACCAACAGAAGUGGGUCCAAUAAAAGAUAUUACCUCA